RNAcentral lists this small RNA (114 nucleotides) under Marmota monax (woodchuck). The record is from RNAcentral. Lineage: Eukaryota; Metazoa; Chordata; Mammalia; Rodentia; Sciuridae.
GCCAGCAGAGUUGUACACACUGUAAUCCCAACUACUUGGGAGCUGAAGCAGGAGGAUCACUUGAACCCAGGAGUUUGAGGACAGCCUGGACAACAUAGUGAGUCCCUGUCUCAA